RNAcentral lists this ribosomal RNA (255 nucleotides) under uncultured bacterium. Its description in RNAcentral is "partial 16S ribosomal RNA". It matches the Rfam family "Bacterial small subunit ribosomal RNA", at positions 524 to 776 of the family's 1533-position model. The record is from RNAcentral.
UACGGAGGGUGCGAGCGUUGUCCGGAAUCACUGGGCGUAAAGGGCGCGUAGGCGGCCUGAUAAGUAGGGGGGUGAAAAUCCUGCGGCUUAACCGCAGGGCUGCCUUCUAAACUGUCAGGCUAGAGCACAGUAGAGGCAGGUGGAAUUCCCGGUGUAGCGGUGGAAUGCGCAGAUAUCAGGAGGAACACCGGUGGCGAAGGCGGGUCUCUGGGCCGAUACUGACGCUGAGGAGCGAAAGCGUGGGGAGCGAACAGG